ACUCAUUUUAGCAGAGGUUCCAUGGUGUUUUCCAUGAGAGUCAUCUCUGGGCAAACAAUGUACAACGGAGUAAGUGUACUCACACCACCCUGUUCCUCCCACUGAAUGCGGCUAAAAAACCUGGGCAGAAUAAGUGGAGCAUCUGAGGACUCUGAAAAGUAAAUAAUAGCAGGCAGAUUGGAGAUGAAGACCAAAAUGGAGUGGAUACAUGAUCCAGGACUGGCCAGAAUUCUAC
Molecule: long non-coding RNA, 235 nt
Filed under: Homo sapiens (human)
Lineage: Eukaryota; Metazoa; Chordata; Mammalia; Primates; Hominidae
Description: HSALNT0192686
Source: RNAcentral